UACGUAGGUGGCAAGCGUUGUCCGGAUUUACUGGGUGUAAAGGGCGUGUAGCCGGGUUGACAAGUCAGAUGUGAAAUCCUGCGGCUUAACCGCAGAACUGCAUUUGAAACUGUUGAUCUUGAGUACUGGAGAGGCAGACGGAAUUCCUAGUGUAGCGGUGAAAUGCGUAGAUAUUAGGAGGAACACCAGUGGCGAAGGCGGUCUGCUGGACAGCAACUGGCGGUGAGGCGCGAAAGCGUGGGGAGCAAACAGG
This 253-nucleotide ribosomal RNA is filed under the name uncultured bacterium. RNAcentral describes it as "partial 16S ribosomal RNA". It matches the Rfam family "Bacterial small subunit ribosomal RNA", at positions 524 to 776 of the family's 1533-position model. The record is from RNAcentral.